This 253-nucleotide long non-coding RNA is filed under the name Manihot esculenta (cassava). Its description in RNAcentral is "long non-coding RNA (MESC_LNC009707)". Lineage: Eukaryota; Viridiplantae; Streptophyta; Magnoliopsida; Malpighiales; Euphorbiaceae. The record is from RNAcentral.
GAUUUUGAAAUCAGGCUUUCUGCAUCAUAGCCCAUAUCUGAAGGUGUAGGGCUUUGAGGCCUUGUUGGGCUUUGAGGCCUUGCGUACACAGGAUUAGCCACUUGUUCUUCAGAUCUUUGAAGCCCAAUUACAGAGUUACUUCUCAGGGCUGGAAUUGAUACCGAUGUCCUGGGAGGUAAUGGUUCUGACAUUAGAGAGACUUCUGGCAUUGAUCUUUUGUCAGAAACACUUCUGCUUCGGCUAAAGGUAAUAG